UAAGGGCGCACGGUGGAUGCCUUGGCACUAGAAGCCGAUGAAGGACGUUACUAACGACGAUAUGCUUUGGGGAGCUGUAAGUAAGCUUUGAUCCAGAGAUUUCCGAAUGGGGAAACCCAGCAUGAGUUAUGUCAUGUUAUCGAUAUGUGAAUACAUAGCAUAUCAGAAGGCACACCCGGAGAACUGAAACAUCUUAGUACCCGGAGGAAGAGAAAGAAAAUUCGAUUCCCUUAGUAGCGGCGAGCGAAACGGGAAGAGCCCAAACCAACAAGCUUGCUUGUUGGGGUUGUAGGACACUCUAUACGGAGUUACAAAGGACGACAUUAGACGAAUCAUCUGGAAAGAUGAAUCAAAGAAGGUAAUAAUCCUGUAGUCGAAAAUGUUGUCUCUCUUGAGUGGAUCCUGAGUACGACGGAGCACGUGAAAUUCCGUCGGAAUCUGGGAGGACCAUCUCCUAAGGCUAAAUACUCUCUAGUGACCGAUAGUGAACCAGUACCGUGAGGGAAAGGUGAAAAGCACCCCGGAAGGGGAGUGAAAUAGAACCUGAAACCGUGUGCUUACAAGUAGUCAGAGCCCGUUAAUGGGUGAUGGCGUGCCUUUUGUAGAAUGAACCGGCGAGUUACGAUUUGAUGCAAGGUUAAGCAGUAAAUGUGGAGCCGUAGCGAAAGCGAGUCUGAAUAGGGCGUUUAGUAUUUGGUCGUAGACCCG
Molecule: ribosomal RNA, 708 nt
Filed under: Staphylococcus aureus
Lineage: Bacteria; Bacillati; Bacillota; Bacilli; Caryophanales; Staphylococcaceae
Description: partial 23S ribosomal RNA
Rfam family: Bacterial large subunit ribosomal RNA
Source: RNAcentral